RNAcentral lists this ribosomal RNA (773 nucleotides) under Escherichia coli. RNAcentral's name for it is "partial 23S ribosomal RNA". It matches the Rfam family "Bacterial large subunit ribosomal RNA", at positions 500 to 1272 of the family's 2925-position model. The record is from RNAcentral. Lineage: Bacteria; Pseudomonadati; Pseudomonadota; Gammaproteobacteria; Enterobacterales; Enterobacteriaceae.
ACCGUGAGGGAAAGGCGAAAAGAACCCCGGCGAGGGGAGUGAAAAAGAACCUGAAACCGUGUACGUACAAGCAGUGGGAGCACGCUUAGGCGUGUGACUGCGUACCUUUUGUAUAAUGGGUCAGCGACUUAUAUUCUGUAGCAAGGUUAACCGAAUAGGGGAGCCGAAGGGAAACCGAGUCUUAACUGGGCGUUAAGUUGCAGGGUAUAGACCCGAAACCCGGUGAUCUAGCCAUGGGCAGGUUGAAGGUUGGGUAACACUAACUGGAGGACCGAACCGACUAAUGUUGAAAAAUUAGCGGAUGACUUGUGGCUGGGGGUGAAAGGCCAAUCAAACCGGGAGAUAGCUGGUUCUCCCCGAAAGCUAUUUAGGUAGCGCCUCGUGAAUUCAUCUCCGGGGGUAGAGCACUGUUUCGGCAAGGGGGUCAUCCCGACUUACCAACCCGAUGCAAACUGCGAAUACCGGAGAAUGUUAUCACGGGAGACACACGGCGGGUGCUAACGUCCGUCGUGAAGAGGGAAACAACCCAGACCGCCAGCUAAGGUCCCAAAGUCAUGGUUAAGUGGGAAACGAUGUGGGAAGGCCCAGACAGCCAGGAUGUUGGCUUAGAAGCAGCCAUCAUUUAAAGAAAGCGUAAUAGCUCACUGGUCGAGUCGGCCUGCGCGGAAGACGUAACGGGGCUAAACCAUGCACCGAAGCUGCGGCAGCGACGCUGAUGCGUUGUUGGGUAGGGGAGCGUUCUGUAAGCCUGUGAAGGUGUGCUGUGAGGCAUG